This 26-nucleotide unclassified non-coding RNA is filed under the name Severe acute respiratory syndrome coronavirus 2. Its description in RNAcentral is "RNA (26-MER) from Severe acute respiratory syndrome coronavirus 2 (PDB 8BWT, chain A)". Lineage: Riboviria; Orthornavirae; Pisuviricota; Pisoniviricetes; Nidovirales; Coronaviridae. The record is from RNAcentral.
GGCGUUUUCGCUUCGGCGUUUACGCC